This 491-nucleotide ribosomal RNA is filed under the name uncultured bacterium. RNAcentral's name for it is "partial 16S ribosomal RNA". It matches the Rfam family "Bacterial small subunit ribosomal RNA", at positions 29 to 506 of the family's 1533-position model. The record is from RNAcentral.
AGUGAACGCUGGCGGUAGGCCUAACACAUGCAAGUCGAACGGCAGCACAGUAAGAGCUUGCUCUUACGGGUGGCGAGUGGCGGACGGGUGAGGAAUACAUCGGAAUCUACUUUUUCGUGGGGGAUAACGUAGGGAAACUUACGCUAAUACCGCAUACGACCUACGGGUGAAAGCAGGGGAUCUUCGGACCUUGCGCGAUUGAAUGAGCCGAUGUCGGAGUAGCUAGUUGGCGGGGUAAAGGCCCACCAAGGCGACGAUCCGUAGCUGGUGUGAGAGGAUGAUCAGCCACAGUGGAGCUGAGACACGGUCCAGACUCCUACGGGAGGCAGAAGUGGGGAAUAGUGGAAAAUGGGGGCAAGCCUGAUCCAGCCAUGCCGGGUGGGUGAAGAAGGCCUUCGGGUGGGAAAGCCCUUUUGUGGGGAAAGAAAAGCAGCAGGUUAAAACCCCGCUGUGCGGACGGUACCCAAAGAAUAAGCACCGGCUAACUUCGU